RNAcentral lists this ribosomal RNA (497 nucleotides) under uncultured bacterium. Its description in RNAcentral is "partial 16S ribosomal RNA". It matches the Rfam family "Bacterial small subunit ribosomal RNA", at positions 29 to 523 of the family's 1533-position model. The record is from RNAcentral.
AGUGAACGCUGGCGGCGUGCCUAAUACAUGCAAGUCGAACGCGAAAGUCCUUCGGGAUGAGUAAAGUGGCGCACGGGUGAGUAAUGCAUGAGAACAUGCCCUUAGAUGGGGAAUAACGUUUGGAAACGAACGCUAAUACCGCAUAAUCUCGAGAGAGUAAAGGUGGCGCCGCCAGGGCUACCGUCUAAGGAUUGGCCCAUGUCCCAUUAGCUAGUUGGCGGGGUAGUGGCCCACCAAGGCAACGAUGGGUAUGUGGUCUGAGAGGAUGAUCACACACACUGGAACUGAGACACGGUCCAGACUCCUACGGGAGGCAGCAGUAGGGAAUAUUGCACAAUGGGGGAAACCCUGAUGCAGCAACGCCGCGUGAGUGAAGAAGGCCCUUGGGUCGUAAAGCUCUUUAGCGAGGGAAGAGGGUAGAUACGGUGAAUAAUCGUGUUUGCUGACGGUACCUCGAGAAUAAGCACCGGCAAAUUUCGUGCCAGCAGCCGCGGUAA